Molecule: ribosomal RNA, 381 nt
Filed under: Leptochela japonica
Lineage: Eukaryota; Metazoa; Arthropoda; Malacostraca; Decapoda; Pasiphaeidae
Description: partial 12S ribosomal RNA
Source: RNAcentral
UAGAUACCCUAUUAUUCUAGUAGAAAUUAAUAAAACUUGAGUAGUAAAAAGUUAUGAUCUUUAAACUUAAAGGAUUUGGCGGUAUUUUAGUCUAGUUAGAGGAGCCUGUUUUGUAAACGAUAAACCACGAAUAAUCUUACUUUCUUUGGUAGUCAGUUUGUAUACCGUCAUUAUUAGAUAAUUUUAAUAGAUAUUUAUUGUAAUAUAUAAUUUUAAUAUAUUAGAUCAAGGUGCAGCUAAUAGGAAAGUAAAUUAAUGGGCUACAAUUAUAUUUGGUAAAUACGAAUAUUUGUUUGAAAAGCAUUCUGAAGGAGGAUUUAAUAGUAAUCUUUAUUUAAUAAGGUUAGAUGAUAUAAGCUCUAGAAUAUGUACACAUCGCCC